CGAGUUGGUUGGGCGAUCGCUCCUCACGUGUGAGGGGAGGAAAGUCCGGGCUCCACAGGGCAGGGUGCCAGAUAACUUCUGGGGGGCGUGAGCCUACGGAAAGUGCAGCAGAAAGGAUACCGCCUCUGUUCGCAGAGGUAAGGGUGAAAAGGUGCGGUAAGAGCGCACCGCGUGGCUGGUAACAGGCGCGGCGAUGGUAAACCCCACUCGGAGCAAGACCAAAUAGGAACCCUUAAGCCGCGGCCCGCGGCGGGUUCGGGUAGGUCGCUUCAGGCAAUCGGUGACGGUUGUCGCAGAUGAAUGGUCGUCCACGACAGAACCCGGCUUACAGACCGACUCGCUUA
RNAcentral lists this RNase P RNA (344 nucleotides) under Halioglobus maricola. RNAcentral describes it as "RNase P RNA component class A". It matches the Rfam family "Bacterial RNase P class A". From Rfam's summary of the family: Ribonuclease P (RNase P) is a ubiquitous endoribonuclease, found in archaea, bacteria and eukarya as well as chloroplasts and mitochondria. Lineage: Bacteria; Pseudomonadati; Pseudomonadota; Gammaproteobacteria; Cellvibrionales; Halieaceae. The record is from RNAcentral.